Molecule: ribosomal RNA, 468 nt
Filed under: uncultured bacterium
Lineage: Bacteria
Description: partial 16S ribosomal RNA
Rfam family: Bacterial small subunit ribosomal RNA
Source: RNAcentral
GACGAACGCUGGCGGCGUGCUUAACACAUGCAAGUCGAACGGAAGGGCCCUGCUUUUGUGGGGUGCUUGAGUGGCGAACGGGUGAGUAACACGUGAGUAACCUGCCCUUGACUUUGGGAUAACUUCAGGAAACUGGGGCUAAUACCGGAUAGGAGCUCCUGCUGCAUGGUGGGGGUAGGAGAGUUUCGGCGGUUGGGGAAGGACUCGCGGCUUAUCAGCUUGUUGGUGGGGUAGUGGCUUACCAAGGUUUUGACGGGUAGCCGGCCUGAGAGGGUGACCGGCCACAUUGGGACUAAGAUACGGCCCAGACUCCUACGGGAGGCAGCAGUGGGGAAUAUUGCACAAUGGGCGGAAGCCUGAGGCAGCAACGCCGCGUGCGGGAUGACGGCCUUCGGGUUGUAAACCGCUUUCGCCUGUGACGAAGCGUGAGUGACGGUAAUGGGUAAAGAAGCACCGGCUAACUACGUG